This 464-nucleotide ribosomal RNA is filed under the name uncultured Castellaniella sp. Its description in RNAcentral is "bacterial SSU rRNA". It matches the Rfam family "Bacterial small subunit ribosomal RNA", at positions 337 to 794 of the family's 1533-position model. The record is from RNAcentral. Lineage: Bacteria; Pseudomonadati; Pseudomonadota; Betaproteobacteria; Burkholderiales; Alcaligenaceae.
UCCUACGGGAGGCAGCAGUGGGGAAUUUUGGACAAUGGGGGCAACCCUGAUCCAGCCAUCCCGCGUGUACGAUGAAGGCCUUCGGGUUGUAAAGCACUUUUGGCAGGGAAGAAACAGCCUGGGCGAAUACCGUGGGAGACUGACGGUACCUGCAGAAUAAGCACCGGCUAACUACGUGCCAGCAGCCGCGGUAAUACGUAGGGUGCAAGCGUUAAUCGGAAUUACUGGGCGUAAAGCGUGCGCAGGCGGUUCGGAAAGAAAGGUGUGAAAUCCCAGGGCUUAACCUUGGAACUGCACUUUUAACUGCCGGUCUAGAGUACGUCAGAGGCGGGUAGAAUUCCACGUGUAGCGGUGAAAUGCGUAGCGAUGUGAAGGAAUACCGAUGGCGAAGGCAGCCCCCUGGGAUGAUACUGACGCUCAUGCUGAAAGCUUGGGGAGCAAACAGGAUUAGAUACCCUGGUAGA